CUGACCCACGUGGCCUCGGGGUUAUAAGCCCUGCCCACCCUGAAGGGAACCCCACUUUGGAGCCUGUUCCUCUCAGCUCUGCAGCAUCAGGUAAGGGCCUAAAUCUUCUUCACUCCAGCCCCAACCAGGGCUCCUUAACUCUGGGCCUAAAGGAUGGUGAAGGGUUUUGGGUUCAGGUUCUAAGUGGAGGCUCGGGACAGCAGGAGGCCAAGGGCUCGGGUGCCAGGGCUCCCCUGAAAGCUCCAGGCAAAGGACCAAUGACGCUAGGAUCCGCCGGCCUUCAUUGGGAACAGCUUUCAAAACCUUUUAAAUCCUCUAAGGCAGGGUUAAAGGGUAAAAUGACUUCUGCUCUCUCCACCGCUCCCCCCAAAAGAGAGGCACCUAAGGCUCUGAGGAAGGAGGGCUGGAGAGUAGGAUGGGAACGGGAGAGUGGGCAAAAGCCAAAAAGGCGGGGCCAGUAUCAGCGAGUUGUGCCCAGGUAUUUUUUCCGCCCAACAUGGCCUCCAUUUCCAUCGGCUCAUUCUUGGACUCCAGCUUGGGGGACAGCCAUGAGUGAGGGACUCAGGGCCUGGGUCUGAUGGGAGGCGCACGGGCUUCUGGGAGGCAGACCCUCUGUCUAAUGCAUAGGCUGGGCACCAAGGCUUUUACGGGAGGGAGGAGGCCGUGGCUGCCUCAGGUGGGUUCAAGACAGUGGGUCUUAGGGCUGGGAGGCACCACCCAGGGGGUUGCAGUUGUAAAGAUAGGAUUGGGCCUCAGGAGCAGCCAUGGUCUCCACCUGAGUGUCCCCAGAAGGGAGAGAAUAGGGUGGAAACCUGGAGGGGGGGAGGGAAGAAGGCCCUAAAGAGGAAGUUGUUGGUGGCGCGGAAGACUAGUCUGGCGCCAUGCUGAGUCACCACCCAGAAGGCCCAGGGCGGGCCCUCUAGGGGGCCACAGCGGGUGUAGGGGUCCUUGGGAAACUACAAGGGGGGGGGGGGCAGAGGGCUUUUUAAAAGCAGGAGUCAGCAGGAAGAGCAGGUGGCCUGAAGAAUACCUGUGGACAGACAGACAGUGCAGUCACCCAUAAAGUAGAAAGCACUACUAACAGCACUGGAGGGUGUAGUGUUUCCUACUUUAUGGAUGAGUGUACUGUGGGCUUCGGAGACAGCGCCACGCCGCGGCCACCUGCCACCGGCCUUCUCCACCCCAGGAUCAUGGAGACAGGUAAGCAUCACUUUUAUCCGCCCCCCCCAUUUUGCCAGCUCCCCCAAAGACUUUCAUUUCUUCCUAAGCACUGUGCUUCCUGACCCCAGACAACUGGGUAAAACACUGCAGCAGCUCUCUGGCAUUCAAGUCUUUGGAGAUGGGGUGGGGCCGUGUAUGUGGUGCCACACCUGCAGGCAGAUUGGGGGGAUUCCAGAAGGGAGGCCAGAUGGACGGGAACCUGCAGGGGUCACAGGACCUUCAACUCUAAUAAAGAAUGGACUUGUUUCGCUUUUGUCUGAGACUCUGUUAUUGGGGGUAUCGGGGUUGUGUGGGCUCCCCGGGUACCUGGGAACAGAAUCACCACCACAGAGAAAGAUUGGUUGUGCUGACACACGAGAACACUUAGGCUAGACUAGGCCACAGCCUGGGCAUGAAAAAGCUUGGGUCACUGGAAGCAGACCUCCUGGCAAUGUGAACAAAGGGCUAGGGUAUGAGGGGACCUCUACUUUUGGUCCUAAUUCCUGCUCCAGCUUCUAUUUAACUCUCUUCACUUCCAAAAUGAAGGCCGCUUGCCUCCGGUUUAGGUCUAAGAAAGCCUAGAGCAGUGGUUCUCAACCUUCCUAACACUUCGACCCUUUGAGACAGUUGCAGUGACACCACCACCACCAUAAAUGUAUUUUCCUGGCUACUUCAUAACCGUAGUGUUGCUACUGUUAUGAAUUGUAAUGUAAGUGUCUGUUUUCCAGUGGUCCUAGGUGACCUCUAUGAAAGGAUCCUCAUUCCCCUGAGGGGUUGCAACCCACAGGUUGAAAGCCACUGGUCUAGAGGUCCUUGGUAGCCUCAGAGUUGGGCAAAACCACUAUGGUUCGCUAUGCCCACGAGCACCUAACACAGUGGCAGAUCACGGGUACUCAUUAGCAAGGCACACAUGCAUCACCGUUCAUAUGCAUUUCCACCAGGCCCUGUACACAGAUGCCAGCAACAUGUACAAACCAAGACAUAGACUAUGAGACAUGGCUGACAUAGCAUGGUUAUAUAGUUUCCUAGGAGAAACACAUGUUCACAGCACUUACACAUACAAUGGUGUAUAUACAUGACAUGUCAUGCCCAAGAUUAUAUCCAUGUAGUGACAUUCACAUAAAUACGGUGGCUGCAUGUACAUACAGUGACACUUAUGGAUGAUAAUAUAAAAUCACAAUGGUGCUUACAGAGUCAGGAUCUCUAUGGGUUUCUACACCUAUGGAUUGAAAUUCUGUUUUGAUUUUAUUUUGAUUGUGUGUAUGCGCAUGUGACGUGGUAUGCAUGGGGGUGGGGUUAGAAAACACCUUGCAUGAGAGAGUCAGUUCUCUCAUGUGGUUUCUGGGCAUUGAACUCUAGUGGUCAGGUUUGGUGGCAAAUAUAUCCACCCAUGGAACCAUCCUACUGACCAGACUGAAAAAAAAAAUGUGUUCUUAAUGGCAAGCCAAGUAUGUGGUGUAUCCUGUAAUCCCAGCAGGUGGAGGCUGGAACUUCAUAAGAUCCUAUCUAAGAAAGGAAGCUGUGUCUUAACAGAUUUUUUUUUUUUUUUGGUCAUUGUUCUCAUGAUCUCCCCAGUAAUACAGUGUAAUUAUUUGCUUAGCAUUUACAUUGUAUUAGAAAAUAGGUAUAAACAAUUAGAGACAAUUUAAAGCAUAUGAGAGGGCUGAGGAUAUAGCUCAGUGGUAGGGUGCUCGCCUGGCAUGCAAGAGACCUUGAGGAAAACAGUGUGUAUAAGCCGUGUGCAGAUACUUCACAAUGUUAUAUAAAGGACUUAAGUGUCUUGAGAACUUGGUGAGGCAUCCAGAGAUGAUCCUAGUGCCAGUAAUCCUUAGGCUUGGAAGAGUGAAAAAAAAGGCAUGUAUACAUCUCCAUAUCAUCUCUUAUUAUUAUUAUUAACCAUAGUUUAUUA
Molecule: long non-coding RNA, 3109 nt
Filed under: Cricetulus griseus (Chinese hamster)
Lineage: Eukaryota; Metazoa; Chordata; Mammalia; Rodentia; Cricetidae
Description: lncRNA (ENSCGRG00015040842.1)
Rfam family: mir-142 microRNA precursor family (bases 1046-1129)
Source: RNAcentral